UACGUAGGUGGCAAGCGUUGUUCGGAAUUAUUGGGCGUAAAGGGCUCGUAGGCGGUUUGUCGCGUCGGGAGUGAAAACCCAGGGCUUAACCCUGGGCCUGCUUCCGAUACGGGCAGACUAGAGGUAUGCAGGGGAGAACGGAAUUCCUGGUGUAGCGGUGAAAUGCGCAGAUAUCAGGAGGAACACCGGUGGCGAAGGCGGUUCUCUGGGCAUUACCUGACGCUGAGGAGCGAAAGUGUGGGGAGCGAACAGG
RNAcentral lists this ribosomal RNA (253 nucleotides) under uncultured bacterium. RNAcentral describes it as "partial 16S ribosomal RNA". It matches the Rfam family "Bacterial small subunit ribosomal RNA", at positions 524 to 776 of the family's 1533-position model. The record is from RNAcentral.